RNAcentral lists this ribosomal RNA (225 nucleotides) under uncultured Streptococcaceae bacterium. Its description in RNAcentral is "partial 16S ribosomal RNA". It matches the Rfam family "Bacterial small subunit ribosomal RNA", at positions 114 to 334 of the family's 1533-position model. The record is from RNAcentral. Lineage: Bacteria; Bacillati; Bacillota; Bacilli; Lactobacillales; Streptococcaceae.
CGCGUAGGUAACCUGCCUGGUAGCGGGGGAUAACUAUUGGAAACGAUAGCUAAUACCGCAUAAGAGUAGAUGUUGCAUGACAUUUGCUUAAAAGGUGCAAUUGCAUCACUACCAGAUGGACCUGCGUUGUAUUAGCUAGUUGGUGGGGUAACGGCUCACCAAGGCGACGGUACAUAGCCGACCUGAGAGGGUGAUCGGCCACACUGGGACUGAGACACGGCCCAG